CUUGGCAUCUGGAGCCGAAGAAGGACGUCGUAAUCUGCGAUAAGCCUCGGGGAGCUGAUAAACGAGCUGUGAUCCGAGGAUUUCCGAAUGGGGAAACCCCGCCAGGCCCCUUGUGGUGACCUGGUGACUCCCGCCUGAAUAUAUAGGGCGGGUAGAGGGAACGUGGGGAAGUGAAACAUCUCAGUACCCACAGGAAGAGAAAACAACAGUGAUUCCGUCAGUAGUGGCGAGCGAACGCGGAAGAGGCUAAACCGAAUCAUGUGUGAUACCCGGCAGGGGUUGCAUGGUCGGGGUUGUGGGACUUUUCGUUGUGUUCUGCCGAGCACUGAACGUUACAGCGCAUCAUAGACGAACAGGUUUGAAUGCCUGGCCAGAGCGGGUGCGACGCCCGUAGUCGAAAUGGUGUUAUGGCGUGAAGAGUACUCCCAAGUAGCGACGGGGCCGAGAACUCCGUGUGAAUCUGUCAGGACCACUGAUAACGCCUAAAUACUCCAGAUCGACCGAUAGCGACAAGUCCGUAGGG
Molecule: ribosomal RNA, 523 nt
Filed under: uncultured bacterium
Lineage: Bacteria
Description: bacterial LSU rRNA
Rfam family: Bacterial large subunit ribosomal RNA
Source: RNAcentral